RNAcentral lists this ribosomal RNA (253 nucleotides) under uncultured bacterium. RNAcentral's name for it is "partial 16S ribosomal RNA". It matches the Rfam family "Bacterial small subunit ribosomal RNA", at positions 524 to 776 of the family's 1533-position model. The record is from RNAcentral. RNAcentral also lists the same sequence under 2 other names.
UACGGGGGGGGCAAGCGUUGUUCGGAAUUACUGGGCGUAAAGGGCGCGUAGGCGGCUUUUCAAGUCGGGCGUGAAAUCUCCGGGCUUAACCCGGAAGGGUCGUUCGAUACUGUUGAGCUAGAGUGUGGAAGAGGCAACUAGAAUUCCGUGUGUAGCGGUGAAAUGCGUAGAUAUACGGAGGAAUACCUGAGGCGAAGGCGGGUUGCUGGGCCAACACUGACGCUGAGGCGCGAAAGCCAGGGGAGCAAACGGG